This 2636-nucleotide ribosomal RNA is filed under the name Escherichia coli TOP2652. Its description in RNAcentral is "bacterial LSU rRNA". It matches the Rfam family "Bacterial large subunit ribosomal RNA". The record is from RNAcentral. Lineage: Bacteria; Pseudomonadati; Pseudomonadota; Gammaproteobacteria; Enterobacterales; Enterobacteriaceae.
UUAAGCGACUAAGCGUACACGGUGGAUGCCCUGGCAGUCAGAGGCGAUGAAGGACGUGCUAAUCUGCGAUAAGCGUCKGUGAGGUGAUAUGAACCGUUAUAACCGGCGAUUUCCGAAUGGGGAAACCCAGUGUGUUUCGACACACUAUCAUUAACUGAAUCCAUAGGUUAAUGAGGCGAACCGGKGGAACUGAAACAUCUAAGUACCCCGAGGAAAAGAAAUCAACCGAGAUUCCCCCAGUAGCGGCGAGCGAACGGGGAGGAGCCCAGAGCCUGAAUCAGUGUGUGUGUUAGUGGAAGCGUCUGGAAAGGCGUGCGAUACAGGGUGACAGCMCCGUACACAAMAAUGCACAUAUUGUGAGCUCGAUGAGUAGGGCGGGACACGUGGUAUCCUGUCUGAAUAUGGGGGGACCAUCCUCCAAGGCUAAAUACUCCUGACUGACCGAUAGUGAACCAGUACCGUGAGGGAAAGGCGAAAAGAACCCCGGCGAGGGGAGUGAAAAAGAACCUGAAACCGUGUACGUACAAGCAGUGGGAGCCUCUUAAUGGGGUGACUGCGUACCUUUUGUAUAAUGGGUCAGCGACUUAUAUUCUGUAGCAAGGUUAACCGAAUAGGGGAGCCGAAGGGAAACCGAGUCUUAACUGGGCGUUAAGUUGCAGGGUAUAGACCCGAAACCCGGUGAUCUAGCCAUGGGCAGGUUGAAGGUUGGGUAACACUAACUGGAGGACCGAACCGACUAAUGUUGAAAAAUUAGCGGAUGACUUGUGGCUGGGGGUGAAAGGCCAAUCAAACCGGGAGAUAGCUGGUUCUCCCCGAAAGCUAUUUAGGUAGCGCCUCGUGAAUUCAUCUCCGGGGGUAGAGCACUGUUUCGGCAAGGKGGUCAUCCCGACUUACCAACCCGAUGCAAACUGCGAAUACCGGAGAAUGUUAUCACGGGAGACACACGGCGGGUGCUAACGUCCGUCGUGAAGAGGGAAACAACCCAGACCGCCAGCUAAGGUCCCAAAGUCAUGGUUAAGUGGGAAACGAUGUGGGAAGGCCCAGACAGCCAGGAUGUUGGCUUAGAAGCAGCCAUCAUUUAAAGAAAGCGUAAUAGCUCACUGGUCGAGUCGGCCUGCGCGGAAGAUGUAACGGGGCUAAACCAUGCACCGAAGCUGCGGCAGCGACACUAUGUGUUGUUGGGUAGGGGAGCGUUCUGUAAGCCUGUGAAGGUGGCCUGUGAGGGUUGCUGGAGGUAUCAGAAGUGCGAAUGCUGACAUAAGUAACGAUAAAGCGGGUGAAAAGCCCGCUCGCCGGAAGACCAAGGGUUCCUGUCCAACGUUAAUCGGGGCAGGGUGAGUCGACCCCUAAGGCGAGGCCGAAAGGCGUAGUCGAUGGGAAACAGGUUAAUAUUCCUGUACUUGGUGUUACUGCGAAGGGGGGACGGAGAAGGCUAUGUUGGCCGGGCGACGGUUGUCCCGGUUUAAGCGUGUAGGCUGGUUUUCCAGGCAAAUCCGGAAAACCAAGGCUGAGGCGUGAUGACGAGGCACUACGGUGCUGAAGCGACAAAUGCCCUGCUUCCAGGAAAAGCCUCUAAGCAUCAGGUAACAUCAAAUCGUACCCCAAACCGACACAGGUGGUCAGGUAGAGAAUACCAAGGCGCUUGAGAGAACUCGGGUGAAGGAACUAGGCAAAAUGGUGCCGUAACUUCGGGAGAAGGCACGCUGAUAUGUAGGUGAAGCGACUUGCUCGUGGAGCUGAAAUCAGUCGAAGAUACCAGCUGGCUGCAACUGUUUAUUAAAAACACAGCACUGUGCAAACACGRAAGUGGACGUAUACGGUGUGACGCCUGCCCGGUGCCGGAAGGUUAAUUGAUGGGGUUAGCGGCAACGCGAAGCUCUUGAUCGAAGCCCCGGUAAACGGCGGCCGUAACUAUAACGGUCCUAAGGUAGCGAAAUUCCUUGUCGGGUAAGUUCCGACCUGCACGAAUGGCGUAAUGAUGGCCAGGCUGUCUCCACCCGAGACUCAGUGAAAUUGAACUCGCUGUGAAGAUGCAGUGUACCCGCGGCAAGACGGAAAGACCCCGUGAACCUUUACUAUAGCUUGACACUGAACAUUGAGCCUUGAUGUGUAGGAUAGGUGGGAGGCUUUGAAGUGUGGACGCCAGUCUGCAUGGAGCCGACCUUGAAAUACCACCCUUUAAUGUUUGAUGUUCUAACGUUGGCCCGUAAUCCGGGUUGCGGACAGUGUCUGGUGGGUAGUUUGACUGGGGCGGUCUCCUCCUAAAGAGUAACGGAGGAGCACGAAGGUUGGCUAAUCCUGGUCGGACAUCAGGAGGUUAGUGCAAUGGCAUAAGCCAGCUUGACUGCGAGCGUGACGGCGCGAGCAGGUGCGAAAGCAGGUCAUAGUGAUCCGGUGGUUCUGAAUGGAAGGGCCAUCGCUCAACGGAUAAAAGGUACUCCGGGGAUAACAGGCUGAUACCGCCCAAGAGUUCAUAUCGACGGCGGUGUUUGGCACCUCGAUGUCGGCUCAUCACAUCCUGGGGCUGAAGUAGGUCCCAAGGGUAUGGCUGUUCGCCAUUUAAAGUGGUACGCGAGCUGGGUUUAGAACGUCGUGAGACAGUUCGGUCCCUAUCUGCCGUGGGCGCUGGAGAACUG